UACGUAGGGGGCUAGCGUUGUCCGGAUUUAUUGGGCGUAAAGAGCGUGUGGGCGGCCAGGUAGGUCUGCUGUGAAAACUCGAGGCUCAACCUCGAGACGUCGGCGGAAACCAUCUGGCUAGAGUCCGGAAGAGGAGAGUGGAAUUCCUGGUGUAGCGGUGAAAUGCGCAGAUAUCAGGAAGAACACCCGUGGCGAAGGCGGCUCUCUGGGACGGUACUGACGCUGAGACGCGAAAGCGUGGGAAGCGAACAGG
Molecule: ribosomal RNA, 253 nt
Filed under: uncultured bacterium
Lineage: Bacteria
Description: partial 16S ribosomal RNA
Rfam family: Bacterial small subunit ribosomal RNA
Source: RNAcentral